AUGCUCAUAUCAGCACCACACACACUAAAAUUGGAUUAAACAGAGAUUAUCUUGAUCCCAGCACAGGAAUGACAGCCAAAUUCGUGAAACAUUCUUUAUUGCU
RNAcentral lists this small nuclear RNA (103 nucleotides) under Jaculus jaculus (lesser Egyptian jerboa). Lineage: Eukaryota; Metazoa; Chordata; Mammalia; Rodentia; Dipodidae. The record is from RNAcentral.